CAUAGAUAGGAAUUAAAUAGGCAAAAUGCACAAAUAUAAUUAGCAAUUAAUUCUACCUCCACGCUGUCUAAAUUAAUUAUAUUACUAAUUAAUCGAAAAAUCGCUUUGGAAUAACACAAUACAAAGUAUAUUAUUUAAUAAAGUUACACUAAAAAAUAGGAUCGGAAGAAAUACAAGCUCUGCUAUAAAAAUUACCAGGAUAAGAUUUGAAGAAAAUUAAGGGGAUAAAAAAAAAAAAGAAGAAGAAGAAGAAGACUCUGUGCAAAUAACAACAGGCCAAGUCGCGAUAUUUUGCUCCGAUUUCAGUUUUCACGUUUUCUCUCUCUCUACGAUACAGAUAUUGGAUUCCGUUCUCUCUCUCCUCUCUCUCUCUCUCUCUGUGUAUAUAGAUACAUAUAAGUAUGUAUGUAAAUGUGAGAAUUAUGUAAUUGUAAAGUGCAGACUCAGAAAAUCGGAGAAAAUAGAGGUUAAUUGUU
RNAcentral lists this long non-coding RNA (476 nucleotides) under Olea europaea (common olive). RNAcentral's name for it is "long non-coding RNA (OEUR_LNC009834)". Lineage: Eukaryota; Viridiplantae; Streptophyta; Magnoliopsida; Lamiales; Oleaceae. The record is from RNAcentral.